UAACAAAUAGCUUAAAUAAAAGCAAAGCAUUGAAGAUGCUUUCAUGGUUAUUAACCUUUGUUAG
RNAcentral lists this transfer RNA (64 nucleotides) under Physella acuta. RNAcentral describes it as "tRNA-Phe". Lineage: Eukaryota; Metazoa; Mollusca; Gastropoda; Physidae. The record is from RNAcentral.